RNAcentral lists this ribosomal RNA (485 nucleotides) under uncultured bacterium. RNAcentral's name for it is "partial 16S ribosomal RNA". It matches the Rfam family "Bacterial small subunit ribosomal RNA", at positions 30 to 507 of the family's 1533-position model. The record is from RNAcentral.
AUUGAACGCUGGCGGCAGGCUUAACACAUGCAAGUCGAGCGGGGAAGAGUAGCUUGCUACUUGACCUAGCGGCGGACGGGUGAGUAAUGCUUAGGAAUCUGCCUAUUAGUGGGGGACAACAUCUCGAAAGGGAUGCUAAUACCGCAUACGUCCUACGGGAGAAAGCAGGGGACCUUCGGGCCUUGCGCUAAUAGAUGAGCCUAAGUCGGAUUAGCUAGUUGGUGGGGUAAAGGCCUACCAAGGCGACGAUCUGUAGCGGGUCUGAGAGGAUGAUCCGCCACACUGGGACUGAGACACGGCCCAGACUCCUACGGAAGGCAGCAGUGGGGAAUAUUGGACAAUGGGGGGAACCCUGAUCCAGCCAUGCCGCGUGUGUGAAGAAGGCCUUUUGGUUGUAAAGCACUUUAAGCGAGGAGGAGGCUACCGAGAUUAAUACUCUUGGAUAGUGGACGUUACUCGCAGUAUAAGCACCGGCUAACUCUGUG